UGUGCAUUGUAGAAAACUGAACUGAGUCUUCAAUGCUUAGCUCAUGUGUGCCCAGUUUCAUAUAGAUAACCAGCAAGUUAUUUGGCUGCCCAUGUACAACUAUAUAAUGCCCAUAGCAAAUACACUCCCCACCCCAAAACCAGCAGAAACUUCUAGGCUGGUAGACUCCUAUGGCCAUGCACAUGCCCCCUUGUUGACAGACAGGGCCCUUGACCAAUGAAAUGCCUUGGUUUAGAGAAGUUUCUGGACCCCUACCAUAAAUGACCACAGCUCAGAUUCGGUUAGACUUUAAAUGGAGCUGCUGGAGACUGCUAUUGAGUUGGUUUUCCUUGGAGGAGCUGUGAGGCAGUUGAAGAUUCUUGUCAUUGGACCCACCAUCUGAGGAACAUUCUUUGAGGGUUGCUGUGAAAUCCUCCAUCUGGACCAAACAGAGGAAGAAGUCAAACGGGAAAAAAUGAUGAUACGUCCUUGCUUCCCCAAGAACUCCCUUAUAUCUUGGAGUGGAGCAGAAAAUUAAAAGGACUGGAAGAACAUUCUGAUGUGAUGGAGCUCCAGGCAAAGUCCACUUACUGGGGUUCUGCUAGAACUGAAGAAUUUUCAAGAGGGAUGAUAGUGUAAGCUGUACAACUAUAUGACAAUACAAGCAAAAGCAAUGAACUUACUGUUCUUACAAACACAGCUAUUCAAGAUGUAUUGUGCUGCUCGUGUUUGGGAUAAAUCCUGCAGCCCUGAGGAGACAAUGGCCAACUCAGCCUUGCUACACAGAUGAAUUAUGCUCUUUCCGGGAAAAUACAAAAUGGGUAUUAGUAGUUCUGGAGGAACUGUUGCUGUUAACAUCUCCAGCACUAGAUCUUAAGUGGAUGUAUCAUCCUGAAGGGAAUCUUCAUCAGAGCAGACUGCUCUCUGAGUGGAAGAGGUGCCUGUACCUCAGAAGCACUUACUUAACCUUUAUCUCAUGCUGUUGUUUACUCACAAGAAGCUUAGCUAAGGGUCAGGGCAAAAAGACUAAGAUGAAAGAAUGGACCUAAAGAUAUGGCAGUGGAAGUAAAACGUAAAAUCUGAAAAGGAAACAGGUGUAUUUAGGACUCAAAGCAAGACAAGAAAAAUAUGUUAGACUUGAAAGAGAUACAGGGUAGAACUAGAUUGGGAAAUACACAAUAGUGGGAGCCAGCACUAAAGCAGCAAAUUACAGAAGCAAAGAGGAUAUAGCUAUACAAGCAUUGCAGAUGGAUUAUGGAGUAGUUUGGAGUAUGGACUUUCACUUUUUGCCUGAAGUUUAUCCACAGUUGUUAUUCUCAGAGUUCAACUUCUGCUUGUCAGUUUGACAAUUGUUUACCCAGUGAGUCUACUAUCAAGAGUUCAGAAGGUAUAUGUACUUUAUUAAUGGGUUAUUUUAGAUCUGGACAACAUUUUGAUCCCCUUUACAUUUCCAGAAUGAAACCCAACAUUGACUGGGAACCAAGUCUUUGACUCGGUUUUUCCAAAGAGAUUUAGCUCUAAGGUUUUUGGUUUAUACCACUGACACUAUGUAUCAGCAGGUGGUGGUGUUUUGAAGGGUUUUUUUGUUUUGUUGGGGGUUUUUUGUAUGUUUAGUUGUGGUUUUUUUGGUUUGUUUGGUUUGGUUUUUGUUGUGUGGAUUUUUUUUCUGUUUGGUUUUUGUGUGGUUUUUUUUUUUUUUAUUUUAAUUUUCCCAGAAACACUGCUUUAGGCUUACAGAACCUCCAGGAGGUUGGUAUCUGAGACUCUUGAAAGAAUAAUGAAGAAGCAACAAGUCAGAGAAGUGGAAGAACAUUAAGAAAAUAAUGUAGGGAACUGCGUUUAUGGGAGAACAAAUACGUGUGAACUUCACAUUAAAAUGUCUGAUGUAUUGAAAAAAGUGUGCAGAUUUCAGCAAAUAUUUCAGCAAACUGCACCAUGCUCUUUUAUCCUGGGACUCAAGGUGAUGUGCAUUUCUGAAUUUGCAUCUGGAACUUUGUUCUAGUUAUUCCAGGAAUACUUUGACUGGGCAUGAUAUUGUCAUUCAAAACAUUAUCUCCAACAAGCACCUUCCCAAAUUUCUCAUUUUCUCUAGGAAACAGGAUAAAUUCUUGCUUUCUUGGAGACAGGGUUGAAUGAAAUGGCACGUCUGUGAGAACUAUAAAGAUUCUUUAUAUAUGUUUUUAAGGCUUCUAGCACCAGAGUAGAAAGAUUUUGAGGCAAAGCACAUCUUCCUAUUUUGUGUGCUACACAGGAGGCCAGAGGAGGGUCUGAGAAACUCACUGGGAAAGAAUCUUUUCUGAAAUCAGUUAAUCAUAAGAAAAGCUUUGCCUUUUAUAUAGAUUCACCCAGCAACUCCAUACUUGGAAUGCAGUCACCCAAGUGAAGGGUUAGGGCUACAUAUAUAUUAAUAAGUAAAAUGUACUAGGCAUUGUUUUCUGUCCCUCAGACACACAUCACAUAUGCCCAUACUCUUAAACUCUCCAGGCUGCCUAACAAGAAAUCCCCAAAAGUAACAGGAAUGUUUUUGGUUUUGCUUCUUUAUCUGUUAUUUCUGAGAGAAUGCUGAAAAUCCCCCCAAAUAGAUUAGCUGUCAUAUCUUGGUAGCUAAACAGCACAGCUUGAAUAGAGAUAUUGUUCUCACUGAUGCACAAAGCUUCUGUUUGUCAGCUGUGCACACAAAUAUUAGGGAACAGUGCGCAUCCGUCUUUGAAUAUGCCUCUUCAUCAGGGCAACCACUUGAGAUUCAUUAUUCCCCUGAUAGCCCAGGAAAACCACUUUACUUGGCUAUUCAUAAUUAUAAGUCACAUCAUGCUGUACCACUCAAUCAGGACAUUAAGACUGAGAUUCAUCUCCCAUAACUUUAGAUGUCCACAGCCUAGAGGUUUUCAACUGCAGUGCAGCCAUCUGGGCUUCUAUUAAUCCCUUUGCAGAACAGGCCCUUCAAGUUAUGAUUAAUCUGACUUUGGAUGCUUCCUGUAAAAUGGGAUAGCUGGUACCAUAAAUAUCACAGACUAGAUUACCACUGACUGUAAACACUUGUCCAGAUGAAAAGGCCACAUGGAGACGUCUCCAGUGUAAAAUGGCUGCAUAUAUCCAAAUAAAUUGCACAUUUUCUCAUUUGCUGCCUUCUCACUAUUGAGCUGAUUUAAAAUGCUAUUGCCAAGAAAGUGCUCGUCCCCAUCUUUUCCGGGAGGUUUCAGCAGCAGAGAGCAUUUCUUUUCACCUCAUCCACUCUAGUCCAAAAAUCAGUCAUUCACACAUAAACCAUUGAUGAGGUUGGCUUGAGCUAAGACAUCAAAAUCUGCACUGGACCAACUGGAAAGCUGUUACAUCUGCUGAUUCUGCUAUGGAUAAGCAACUUCUGGCAGAAAAACUGUUGUAUCAGGCUGCAGGGUUGUAGCUUUUUUUGCAAUACUACCUGUGGGGAGGACUGUGAGACUCAAGUCCCUUCAAUAUCCAGCCAGUGGAGCCACAGUGACUUAGAACAGCUGGAAUACCUUUUUUUUUUUCACCUUUUAAAAAAUUGCUUUCUUGUUUUAGCUCUUCAUAAUUUCUUUCAUAUUUCAUUUCUUUCCAGAUACAUAGAAGAGUACUGUCCAUCCAGUAGUUAAAGAAAUUGAUAGCUAAAUACACUGAGACACCCCGUGUAGGCACAGAAUAUUUGGUGUAAUGCAUAAAUUGCUUUAAAAACAAAACAAAACACGCACACACACACAAAAACAAACAAAAACCCACAAAAAAAAGCGCAAGAAAAAACAAAAACAAGCAAACAACCCCCACCCCCCCAGACACGUAUUAAUCAUGAAAGAAUAGCAGAAUGAGUACUAUGCUUCACAUGGAUCCCUACAUGCAACUAGACAGCAUAUUUGUCUUACAACCAUGUUCAUUUAAUGCUUGUGAUCCCUGCUUUUGAAAGUCCUCAGAUGUUCUUUUUUGGUGUUGCUAAUUUUUUAGAGAUAUUCAUUUGGGGUCUGAUUUUUUGGUAAGGUUUUACAGAAGCGUAUUUUUUGAAGUCUGCCCAACUUAUUUAAUCUCUCCCAUUGGGCAAAACAUUGAAUCUCUACUGAAUCUCUACUGAAUCUCUACUGAAUUAGAGACUGAAUCUCUAAUUAAGACAUUAUUAUUGGCACAAUUUUGAUACCGUUUUGAUGACUUGUGCAAUCUAGACCACUGUUUCGCAGUCAAUGACUCUGUGUAUUGUGUGAAUCUAAACAUAAUGAAAAGUUGUUUCAAAGUCUGCCCCAAGUUAAUUCCACAAAAUGCCUUAGUAGGCCAUGUUCUAUCUGCACAUCACAGAUGAAGAGUCAUAGUUGGCAAAGGCUGACACUCUGAAGAGUUAACUACUGAAAAGUGCUCUUCUGGGUUUCUAGAUGUUAUAAAAGACAAAUAGCUGUGCAGUUGUAGUCAGGCUGCCACCAAAAAGCAUGUUCUGCCUACAUUGAUAGGUCAGAUAGCUCUGUCUCUGCUUUCAUGCACUUAGUGCAUCAUAUGGAGCUUUCUUUCCUAUAUGUUUUUGUGUUCAUUUCCCAGAAUUUAUUUUGCUGUCUGACAACAUUUGGUUUUAUUUCCUGAGAUAUAGGGCAGAAGAAACAGGUUCUCUAUUUCUUGCUUUGAUCCAAUAAAUUUCUUGAAAUUC
Columba livia (rock pigeon) is the source of this 4615-nucleotide long non-coding RNA. RefSeq lists it as uncharacterized. The transcript is spliced from 3 exons. The record is from RefSeq and is a predicted model, not a curated record. Lineage: Eukaryota; Metazoa; Chordata; Aves; Columbiformes; Columbidae.